This 1301-nucleotide ribosomal RNA is filed under the name uncultured bacterium. Its description in RNAcentral is "bacterial SSU rRNA". It matches the Rfam family "Bacterial small subunit ribosomal RNA", at positions 26 to 1392 of the family's 1533-position model. The record is from RNAcentral.
ACAGUGAACGCUGGCGGUGCGCCUAACACAUGCAAGUCGAGUGGGUUAGACCCACGGCGAACGGCUGCGUAACACGUUGGUACUUGCCUCGAACUCAGGGAUAUCCCGCCGAAAGGCGGAGUAAUACCGGAUGAUCCCGCAAGGGUAAAGCUUUAGCGGUUCGAGAGAGGCCUGCGGCCUAUCAGGUAGUUGGUAAGGUAACGGCUUACCAAGCCUAUGACGGGUAGCUGAUCUGAGAGGAUGAUCAGCCAGAAUGGAACUGAGAACGGUCCAUACUCCUACGGGAGGCAGCAGUGAGGAAUCUUCCGCAAUGGGCGAAAGCCUGACGGAGCGACACCGCGUGAAGGAUGAAGCCCUUUUUGGGUGUAAACUUCUGUUCUGAGGGACGAAAUUUUUGACGGUACCUCAGGAGAAAGCACCGGCUAAUUCUGUGCCAGCAGCCGCGGUAAGACAGAAGGUGCAAGCGUUACUCGGAAUUACUGGGCGUAAAGCGUCUGCAGGUGACUCGCCACGUCUGAUAUAAAAGCACUGGAGCCUAACUCCGUGUCGUUAUUGGAAACGAGCGAGAUUGAGUCAUUCAGAGGCAUCUGGAAUGUCGUGUGUAGGGGUAAAAUCCGUAGAUCCACGAUGGAACGCCAAAAGCGAAGGCAGGAUGCUGGGAAUGUACUGACACUCAGAGACGAAAGCGUGGGGAGCAAAGGGGAUUAGAUACCCCCGUAGUCCACGCCCUAAACGAUGCGAGCUCGGUGUAGGAAUCUUCAAUAGAUCCUGUGCCUUAGCUAACGCGUUAAGCUCGCCGCCUGUGAAGUACGGCCGCAAGGCUAAAACAUAAAGGAAUAGACGGGGACCCACACAAGCGGUGGAGCAUGGGGUUUAAUUCGAUGACAAACGAAGGACCUCACCCAGGCUUGACAUCUAAGGAACCCCGCAGAAAUGCGGGGGUGCCGCAAGGAACCUUAAGACAGGCGAUGCACGGUCGUCGUCAGCUCGUGCCUUGAGGUGUACUGUUAAGUCAGCCAACGAGCGCAACCCUCAUCCUAUGUUGUUUUUUCAUGGGAGACUGCCGCCUCCAAGGCCGGGGGAAGGUGGGGAUGACGUCAGAUCAGCGUGUCCUUUAUGCCUGGGGCAACACCCAUGCUACAAUGGCCGGUACAGAGGGCAGCGAACCCGCGAGGGCAAGCAAAUCCCAAAAAACCGGUCUCAGUUCGGAUUGCAGGCUGCAACUCGCCUGCAUGAAGUUGGAAUCGCUAGUAACCGUAGUCAGCCAUACUACGGUGAUAUGUUCCUGGUCUGACUCACCG